GUGAUUGUUGUGUAAUGGUUAGCAUGGAUGCCUUCCAAGCAUUCGACUGGGGUUCGAUUCCGCUCAAACGCA
Non-coding RNA from Angiostrongylus cantonensis (rat lungworm), 72 nucleotides. The record is from Rfam. Lineage: Eukaryota; Metazoa; Nematoda; Chromadorea; Rhabditida; Metastrongylidae.